GACGAACGCUGGCGGCGUGCCUAAUACAUGCAAGUCGAGCGGACGGAUGGGAGCUUGCUCCCAGACCGUCAGCGGCGGACGGGUGAGUAACACGUGGGCAACCUGCCUGUAAGACUGGGAUAACUCCGGGAAACCGGGUCUAAUACCGGAUAACUCUUUCCCUCACAUGAGGGAAAGCUGAAAGAUGGCAUCUCGCUAUCACUUACAGGUGGGCCCGCGGGGCAUUAGCUAGUUGGUGAGGUAACGGCUAACCAAGGCGACGAUGCGUAGCCGACCUGAGAGGGUGAGCGGCCACACUGGGACUGAGAGACGGCCCAGACUCCUACGGGAGGCAGCAGUAGGGAAUCUUCCGCAAUGGACGAAAGUAUGACGGAGCAACGCCGCGUGAGUGAUGAAGGUUUUCGGAUCGUAAAACUCUGUUGUCAGGGAAGAACAAGUACCGGAGUAACUGCCGGUACCUUGACGGUACCUGAACAGAAAGCCACGGCUAACUACGUG
This 498-nucleotide ribosomal RNA is filed under the name uncultured bacterium. RNAcentral describes it as "partial 16S ribosomal RNA". It matches the Rfam family "Bacterial small subunit ribosomal RNA", at positions 28 to 507 of the family's 1533-position model. The record is from RNAcentral.